GCGGUUAUACGGGAGGCCCAAGUUGUUAGAAGUCGGCGUAAAGGGUGGUUAAGAGCAAACUUAAAAUUAAAGCCGAACACCUUCCAAGCUGUUAUACGCCUCCGGAGGCAAGAAGCUCAAUUACGAAAGUAGCUUUAUAUUUUCUGAACCCACGAAAGCUAAGACA
Molecule: ribosomal RNA, 166 nt
Filed under: Spondyliosoma cantharus (black seabream)
Lineage: Eukaryota; Metazoa; Chordata; Actinopteri; Spariformes; Sparidae
Description: partial small subunit ribosomal RNA
Source: RNAcentral